Molecule: long non-coding RNA, 1975 nt
Organism: Pan troglodytes (chimpanzee)
Lineage: Eukaryota; Metazoa; Chordata; Mammalia; Primates; Hominidae
Exons: 2
Source: RefSeq, a predicted model, not a curated record
GUGCUGUGGGAUGGGAUAUUGGCGUUGAGUGGGGUAAGGGUGAUUAGGUUUUAAUGAGAUGGUAAGGGGUGCAUGAUCGGUCGCCAAGGAGGGAGUAGAGGUAUCUUAUACUUGUGGGUUAAGGUGGGGGAAUACAAGAGGAGGACGCAAAGGAGGCUUUGGAUUGGGAAGAAGGGCGGCAAUGAGAUUCAGCUGUAGUCCAGGAAGAGUCAGGGAAGCAGAUAAUUUAGUUAAAGUGUCUCAGCCUAAUAAGGGAACUGGACAGGUGGGGAUAACUAAAAAGGAGUGCUUAAAAGAGUAUUGUCGAAGUUGGCACCAGAGUUGGGGAGUUUUAAGAGGUUUAGAAGCCUGGCUGUCAGUACCCACAACAGUUAUGGAGGCAAAUGAAACAGGCCCUUGAAAAGAAGGGAACUAGCAAGAAUGAAUGGAUGUCCUCGUCACUUCUCCGGGUUUUGGAGUGAAAGAUGGGCAGCAUCGCUCUUUGAAGAUCGCAAAGCUCCUAAUCCAGAUGCUAAUUCCCCUCUCCAUCUGCACGUCCCUUGUGGUUCACAGUGUUCUUAGCUCUACAACCUAAGACAGUGAGGGGUCCUCAGUGACCCUUGAAGAGCUUGACAACACUGGCUUGAAAUUCCCAAAGCCCUCUCCAAGUGUUCUUCAAAUUCUCCAGCAGCUUUUCUUCUCAUGGCUACGCUGGACUGUUUCCAAGCACAUUGCCCCACUAGGCGUAUUCUGGACUCAGACCAGGAACCAAAACUCCUGCUCAGUCUCCAUAAGUAAGACUUAUCUCUGACAGCACCCAAGGCAGCCAGGUGCUGAGUUGAACAACUGAAGUUUGAGAGGAAGAUGGGCUUACCUCUCAGCUACAGCACUUCAGAGGAAGCCUGCUCAGUGCCAUCCCGUCACUUGUGAUUCACCCCUUAUCCAGCCUCCAUCACCCUGCAUCUGUGAGCUCCCCUUUUCCCAUCUCUCCUUCUUUCCUCCACUCAGGUCCAUUUUUUUUGAUUGAUUGAUUUUUUACAAAUAAACUUAAUUUUUUUUUUUUGAGAUGGAGUCUUGCUCUGUCAUCUAGGCUGAAGUGUAGUGGCACAAUCUCAGAUUACUGCAACCUCCACCUCCCAGGUUCAAGUGAUUCUCGUGCCUCAGUCUUUCAAGCAGCUGGGAUCAGAGGUGUGCACCACCGUACCUGGCUAAUUUUUUGUAUUUUUAGUAGAGAUGGAGUUUCACCAUGUUGGCCAGGCUGGUCUUGAACUCCUGACCUCAGGUAAUCUGCCCGCUUCAGCCUCCCAAAGUGCUGGGAUUACAGGCAUGAGCCACCACACUCAGCCAAACAUAAACUUUGUUUUUUAAGGGUGGCUUACACUGCCCAUCACAGCAAAAUUAAGCAGAAAGUAUAGAGAUUUUCCAUGUACCUCAUAUCCCCCCUCCCCUGCCCUACACACAACCUCUCCCAUUAUCAACAUCUCAACCAGAGUGGUCCAUUUGUUACAGUGGAUACACCUACACUGACACAUCAUUAUCACCCAAAAUUCAUAGUGAACCCAGUUUACAUUAGGGUUCACUCUUGUUGCUGUACAUUCAUUAGGUUUGGACAAAUGUAUAAUGACCUGUAUCUACCAUUAUAGAAUCACACAAUCAUUGCACUGCUCUAAAAAUAGUAGUGCUCUGCCUAUUCAUUUCUUCCUCCCCACAACUUUGACAACCCCCUGCUCUUUUGAUCUUCUCCACAGUUUUGCUUUUCCCAGGGUGUUAAAUAGUUAGAAUCUCACAGCAUAUUGCCUUUUCAGAUUGGCUUCUUUCAGUAAAUGCUAUGCAAUGAUGCUUCCUCCAUCUCUUUUUGUGGCUUGAUAGCUCAUUUCUUUUUAUUGCUAGAUAAUAUUUUAUUUAUCUGGGUGGACUGCAGCUUAUCCAUUUGCAUACAGCAGGCCAUCUUGGUUGCUUCUAAGUUUGGCAAUUACAAAUAAAGCUGCUGUAAACA